Molecule: non-coding RNA, 71 nt
Organism: Phrynosoma platyrhinos (Desert horned lizard)
Lineage: Eukaryota; Metazoa; Chordata; Lepidosauria; Squamata; Phrynosomatidae
Source: the annotation of a GenBank genome assembly
GCCAGUGUGGUGUAGUGGUUUGCGUAUUGGACUAGGACUCUGGAGAUCAGGGUUCGAAUUCUAGUUUGGCC